Panicum virgatum (switchgrass) is the source of this 3486-nucleotide long non-coding RNA. RefSeq lists it as uncharacterized. The record is from RefSeq and is a predicted model, not a curated record. NCBI's taxonomy places the organism in Eukaryota, Viridiplantae, Streptophyta, Magnoliopsida, Poales, Poaceae. The transcript has 2 exons.
CAGGGUCCUAACUUCGCUGGUGGGAGAGCUUUUGAAUCUCAGGGCCUAGGGCUUCGCUCCAGUCAGAAUUCCUGGGAGAAUAGGGGGAUUUCAAAGGGGAGGGAGGGGUCCGAAUUUCCAAUGGUAAGAAAAGGAAUUGGGUAGGUAGAACUUCAACAAUCAGCAGUUUGAUGUGAGGGAAAACCUGAAUCAGGGGCAAGAGCAAUAGUUUAAGCUAAUGGAGGACCGGAGAAGGAGGGGAGAGGAUAUCUAGGAAAGAGAGUAUCAGGCAAAGUUGCAAGAGGAGAGGCAAUAGAAAAAACCUGCAAAACUGAAUGAGACAAUCCAAUCUAGCGUGGAUGGGACUUCUAGGGGGGUGGGAGUUGUAAUGUAGACUAGAAGAACUGGGGGAGAGGAUCAAUCAAUUCAGCAUGACAGACUCAGACAACAAAAAGAGAUCAAAUACCUUGAUUCGGGGUGCAAUAGGUGUGGCAAGUUUGGGCAUAAGUCCGAGGAGUGCAAGAAACCUGUAGUUUGUCCUAGGUGCAGAAGAGAAGGACAUGUUCAGAGGGCCAGCACAAAGAUAAUGCCUUGGGAAUGUCUAGGUCCUUUCUGUGGUUUGGCUGCUCAAGGGCAAGGAUUCCACCUGAUUAUGGAUGGAGAUCAAGAUCAGGGAGAAAGGGAAGUGGCAAACUGUGCCCUAAUCACAGUUCUUGAUGGAACAUAAUGAAUGCUAGACAUAUUGAAAAUGAAUUCAGAGUACAGAAGGCUGGGCUUUCCUCAACUUGGAGGUGGUAUGCCAAGAAAAUGUCAGAAACCACUUAUCGGAUGAGAUUUCCUACAACAAAAAAGGUCGAGGACCUAUCUUUCUUUAUAGGAAUGCAUAUGAGAACUAUGCCAGAAGUAACUCUUAAAGUGGAAAAAUGGAACUCUAAUGUUGGUGCUAAAGCUGAGAUCAAUACAACCUGAUUCAGGAUCCUUGGAAUCCCACUUGAAAAAAGAACCAUCAAGAAAGUCAACAUGAUUGGAUCCUUAGUGGGUGUACCCUUGGAGGUUGACUCGGCAAAUUUGAAGAGGUGGGACUUUGUCAGGAUUAGAAUUGGGUGCAAAGACAUAACCAAAGUACCAGCUGUGGUGGAAGGGUUACUGGAUCUCCAUUUUUAUGACUUCCCCUUCCAAACGAAAGUUCCCCAAGAAGGUACAACUAAUGCUGCUGGAACAAGAUGGCCAAGAACAACUGAUAGACCUUCUGGUGAUGCACCAUCACAAAAAAAACCCAGAUGGGGACAAGGAACUUCAAGGUAGGGUGAUAGUGAUGGGGCAUGGGAUGAUCAGAAUGUGUCACACCCGGUUUCGAAAAUAAGAUCAGACGUAUCACAUAUAUGCAUCAAGUUUACACACAUAUGAAGGACGUUUUAAGUGAAUAUAUCAAAGACAAUGUUCAACAAUGUAAACAAAUGGAAAUAAGUACUUUAUUACACAUUCUGAAUAAUAGGCACGAAGGUCUUAGCGUUCCACCGAUAACCUAUACGAGAUCUUCAACAAAGCUUCAUUAAAUCCCACAGGAACUUUGACUGGUGAACGUGCCUAGAACUCCUCAAAGUCACUGAAGUACUCCACUUCAUUGUUCUCUUCUGAACAUCAAUUAGGCAAAGCUUUUAAUGGCAGAAUGGGUGUAUCAAAUCAGCCACAAAUGCAGUUCGAUUUACAUGGCUUGAUAAACAUAAAUAUGGAUCUGAGUUCCUUAGUGCAACCUUUUACUAAGAAAGAGAUUGAUCUUCUGAUCAAAAGGAUUCCAAUAGACAAAGCUCCUGGGCCAGAUGGGUUCAAUGGUAUGUUUGUAAAGAAAUGCUGGCUGAUUAUUAAGGAGGCCUUUUACAAAUUGUGUGAUGCUUUCUACCACUUAGAUGUGAAUCUAGAAAGUAUUAAUAACUCCUUCAUCAUGUUGGUGGCCAAAAUUAACAGUCCAGAACCUGUAAAUGAUUAUAGACCAAUUUCCCUACUCAAUAUGGAUAUUAAGCUUCUGACAAAACUUCUAGUAGAUAGAUUGCAGUUGGUCAUCUUACAGCUACUUCAUGCUAACCAACAUGGUUUUAUUCGUUCACGCACUAUUCAAGAUUGCCUUGCAUGGAGUUUUGACUACAUUCAUCAGUGUCACUAAACCAAGAAAGAAAUGAUCAUUCUCAAGCUAGAUUUUGCCAAGGCCUUUGACACAGUUGAACAUGAAGCCAUUAUUUUGAUGAUGCAACACCUUGGCUUUCCAGACUUGUUGCUUGAGUGGGUGAGGUUAAUCCUAAGUUCUGGUUCUUCUUCCAUUAUAUUUAAUGGGGGUGCUAGGUAGACAUUUUAAAUGCAAAAGAGGAGUUAGACAGGGUGACCCACUCUCACCCCUUCUUUUUGUGCUUGCGGCUGAACUGCAUCAAUAUGUGGUUAAUGAUGCAUUACAUCAGGGUCUAAUCAGAUUGCCACUUGCUCAGCCAACUAGUGACUUUACCAUCAUCCAGUUGCUGAUGAUACUAUCUUGGUAAUGGAGGCAGAUGUCAACCAGCACAUUCAGUUAAAAGGAAUUUUGCAAAAAUUUGCCAUCUCUACAUGUUUGGUGGGUAAAUACAGUAAAUCAAGUAUGAUCCCAAUAAAUGUGCAUCCUGAAAGGCUAGAUGUGCUUGCCUCUGCCUUUGGUACCCAUGUCUGUUUUCCUUUGUAAGAGACCAAAGAAUUUCAGUCAAAGAUGUCAUCGAGAUAGAGGAUCUUGAUACACUCUUUGACUCCCUCUCUCAGAUCAAGCUUUCAACCAGCUACAUGCUAUGCAAAUGGAACUGAUCUCAGUACCAUAUAAUGAUGAACAAGGAGAUAGAUGGGUCUUUAUGUGGGGCUCUCAUGAGUGUGCUCCUCACGAAAAUUUUAUGCUCUGGCUUUCAGGAAUAUGCACACGCCUCUCUCCUUCACUUGGCUCUGGAAAUUGAAAUGCACUCCCAGAAUAAAUUUUUUUGGCUGGUUACUAUUUGUUGAUAGAUUGAAUUCAUGAAAUAUGUUGAGAAGGAGACAUUUCCAUAUUGAUUAUGGCUACACAUGUAUCAUGUGUAGUCUUGGUAUUGAAGAGGAUAUCCACCACUUUUUCUUUGACUGUCCCUUUGCCAAAAGCUGUUGGCAAUCUCUACAGGUGCAGUGGACAAUGAUAAUGAUAUACAUGCAAAACUCACUUAUGGAAGGUCUAAUAACACACAUUUGUUCUUCAUGGAGAUUUUCCUGGUGGGCACAUGGGAAAUCUGGAAAUUAAGAAAUGACAAAAUCUUCAAUCAAGGCUUGGUUAGUAGAAAUCGCUGGAUAUUCAACUUCAAGAAGCAAGUGCACCUUCAGCUCUUAAGGGUGAAUGAAUCUUUUCAUCCCCAAAUUAUUCAAUGGCUAGAUACAAUUGUAUAGAGCUUUUGCUUUUUUUUUACUAUCAUUUCUACCUCCUGAUGUACUUCUAUAAGUUUUCUGUACCCUAUGCAGUUUAUUUUUUCCAAA